UAGUCAUAUGCUUGUCUCAAAGAUUAAGCCAUGCAUGUCUAAGUGUAAACAAAUUUAUACUGUGAAACUGCGAAUGGCUCAUUAAAUCAGUUAUAGUUUAUUUGAUAGUAACUUACUACUUGGAUAACCGUGGUAAUUCUGCAGCUAAUACAUGCAUUAAAUCCCGACUUCUGGAAGGGAUGUACUUAUUAGAUUCAAACCAACCUGGGCAACCAGUUUUAUGGUGAUUCAUGAUAAUUUUUCGAAUCGUAUGGCCUUGUGCUGACGAUGGUUCAUU
Molecule: ribosomal RNA, 277 nt
Filed under: uncultured eukaryote
Lineage: Eukaryota
Description: partial 18S ribosomal RNA
Rfam family: Eukaryotic small subunit ribosomal RNA
Source: RNAcentral